GACGAACGCUGGCGGCGUGCCUAAUACAUGCAAGUCGAGCGGACCGGAUUGGGGCUUGCCUUGAUUCGGUCAGCGGCGGACGGGUGAGUAACACGUGGGCAACCUGCCCGCAAGACCGGGAUAACUCCGGGAAACCGGAGCUAAUACCGGAUAACACCGAAGACCGCAUGGUCUUCGGUUGAAAGGCGGCCUUUGGGCUGUCACUUGCGGAUGGGCCCGCGGCGCAUUAGCUAGUUGGUGAGGGAACGGCUCACCAAGGCGACGAUGCGUAGCCGGCCUGAGAGGGUGACCGGCCACACUGGGACUGAGACACGGCCCAGACUCCUACGGGAGGCAGCAGUAGGGAAUCUUCCGCAAUGGGCGAAAGCCUGACGGAGCGACGCCGCGUGAGCGAAGAAGGCCUUCGGGUCGUAAAGCUCUGUUGUGAGGGACGAAGGAGCGUCGUUCGAAGAGGGCGGCGCGGUGACGGUACCUCACGAGAAAGCCCCGGCUAACUACGUG
Molecule: ribosomal RNA, 501 nt
Filed under: uncultured bacterium
Lineage: Bacteria
Description: partial 16S ribosomal RNA
Rfam family: Bacterial small subunit ribosomal RNA
Source: RNAcentral